Molecule: long non-coding RNA, 1597 nt
Organism: Loxodonta africana (African savanna elephant)
Lineage: Eukaryota; Metazoa; Chordata; Mammalia; Proboscidea; Elephantidae
Exons: 3
Source: RefSeq, a predicted model, not a curated record
GUAAAUCUGACCUGGUUUAGUAAUUAAUGCAACGAAUUGAAAAACCAUCUUCAGCUUCAGUAGGAUGGGCCAUUAUUGAGCCAGGAGGCCCGUGCUAACUUUACACCAAAGUUGCUGUGGACUCAGGAAGUCCUCCAUGCUAUCUGCCCUCAAGACUUCCUGCUGUUCUGCUACUACAGGCCCUGGAUGGCUCACCUGGGAUUGCUGGGGGAAGACCUGAAAGCGAGGAUCUUACCUAUUUUCUGUAUCCUGGCACCGAAGAGGAAACCCUGGUGGUGUAAUGGUUAGGAGCUACAGCUGCUAACCAAAAGGUGGGUAGUUCAAAUCCACCAGGUGCUCCUUGGAAACCCUAUGGGGCAGUCCUACUCUGUCCUGUAGGGUCACUAUAAGUCAGAACCGACUGGAUGGCAACAGGUUUUGGUUUAUUUUUGGUACCUAAGAAUUGUUGUCGUCACCCCCCUCCCGCCACCGCCGCCGUUCAAGCUCCAUGAUAAACAAGGGGUAGAGAUUAGGUAACAGGGUGAAGUCUAAGACUUGAAGGAUUAGUAUAGCAAGCGAGGGUGGGGUGGUCUUCCUCCUUGUCAGCAAGGCUCGGUUCAAGGGCAGUCUGGACUGAGACGGGGGCUGGCUGAGAACACCUUCUGGAAGGCCCUGCCAGCCCUGUGAUUCCCCCUCCAGGAAAUGGGGCCAGCUCUAUGCAAAUACGUUCUUGCCGGGGGAAUUUGGUUUCUCUUCUCUGACCUCCUGGCACAGUGGAACCAACAUGAGCGGUUGCUUGGCAGGACAGAGAAGGGCAGGCUAGCAGUCCCCAGGCUCGGGUGACAGGGCCAGGCCCAGGAGACGGGGAUGUUGACUGGGGCUUUAACAGCCCUCCUGAUGCCAAUCUCGGGCUGAAAACUCGAUAUUUCCACUUGGAACAAGAAGGCUGGAGAGAGGAGGGCAGUGUACCAGGAGCGCCCCCUGCAGGUCUUACUGGGUGGUGCUAGAACAAAGAAAGCGCACUCGGGGUGGGACUUUCAGGAGAUUCCUGGCAAGACCAUGGUGAGGAGGAGGAGGGAGAGGAAGAUGACAGCUUGCAUUUACUGAGUACAGGUAGUCCCCAAUUUACAGCUGGUUCCGUUCCGAUGACUCUGUGGUUAAGUCGGUUCUGAUGUAAGUCGAACGCUUUUUUUUUUUUUUAGCUUUCAUUAUUAUUGCCUUUUAUAUUCAGUGUCUUUACUAACCCGAUCUUUAUUUAUCUUUGUGGGUUGACAUGAGAACGACUACAUCAGCAAACUGCGCACUGCGACACUGUAUGUAGUACCAUAUGAUUAACCAUAAGAGGAACAACCAAAAAAAAGCCUGUUGUAAGUGUUCUUUGUUCUAACUCCCGUAUGAUAUAAACAGGAAACUACUCGUACUUACCAUGUGCCAGACAUAUUAUCCAACAAAUGGAUAAUAUGCUUAUUCUCAUUUUUUAGAUGAAGAAACUAAGAUUGAGAGAGGUCGAGUCACUUGCUCAAAAUCAAACAGAGUUGGAAUUUGAACCCAGGUCAUCACUUCCCGAGAUUAUACUCUCAGCACUGCCUUUCCCACCUCACCAGUUCGUCCCAGGACC